This 317-nucleotide ribosomal RNA is filed under the name Nocardiopsis sp. RNAcentral describes it as "bacterial SSU rRNA". It matches the Rfam family "Bacterial small subunit ribosomal RNA", at positions 514 to 830 of the family's 1533-position model. The record is from RNAcentral. Lineage: Bacteria; Bacillati; Actinomycetota; Actinomycetes; Streptosporangiales; Nocardiopsidaceae.
GCUGCGUUAACAGGUAGGGUCCGAGCGUUGUCCGGAAUUAUUGGGGGUAAAGAGCUCGUAGGCGGCGUGUCGCGUCUGCUGUGAAAGACCGGGGCUUAACUCCGGUUCUGCAGUGGAUACGGGCAUGCUAGAGGUAGGUAGGGGAGACUGGAAUUCCUGGUGUAGCGGUGAAAUGCGCAGAUAUCAGGAGGAACACCGGUGGCGAAGGCGGGUCUCUGGGCCUUACCUGACGCUGAGGAGCGAAAGCAUGGGGAGCGAACAGGAUUAGAUACCCUGGUAGUCCAUGCCGUAAACGUUGGGCGCUAGGUGUGGGGACU